AUAAGUACCUAAAAAGUUAAUGAAGUGUAGCUUUCGGUUGAAUAAUUAUCCAUCCAUCAACUUGCGUAAUUAUUUUUCUAUCUAUAUUUCUAUUUGUCUAUUACGUAUUUAUCUAUCUUAUUUCGAAACGACCUAUGGCUAACUUGCCAGCUAGCUAGCUCUUAACUAGCUAGCUAGCCGGGUCGCCAUUAAGUCUAUUAACAGACUGCACGCCACGGAAGAAAACAUUUAUGUUGUAAUUUGUGUGCCAGCCUCACGUAAAUAUUAUAUUAGUCUACGUGUGUUUUAGAACUUUUGAAAUGUUUAAAACUAGAUUUUCGCUUAAACACAACAGCGCGUUUUGCCGUUAGCGCGAAAAACUACAACUCCCAUAAUCCUUCAGGACAAACGCGCAGCUGUGUAGCUACGGGUGCCGGGAGAGCGCGUGACAACAGGCACGGCGCAGACGGCAGCGCUCCAGACAAGCGGCAGCUGCAGAAGGCGUGCGGCCGCUCGGUGCACUCUCCCGCCCCGGCAAAACCUCGCACUUGCCGCGGGGUAAUCCCUGCCUUGUUGGGAUCUCCCGCGGAACAUGUCAGCGCCUCUCCCGAGCGGAAGACCCUCACAGGCGAGCUUUUUCUCCACGUUCCCCUGCCGCUUCCCCGCUUUUGUUGUCGUCCACCUCCGGAGCGGAGGAGAGUGACGGCGGAGGCUGACCCGCGAAAUGCCGCGCACUCCCGGCUGCGGCAGUCCAGGCAACGACCCUUGCCCGGAGAGGAGCGGUGCUCCGCCGCUGACCGCCCCCACAACUCGCUGCGAGUAGAAGAGUGAGAUCUCCUAUUGGCACAUCCUCUUGGACGUGAUGGAUAAUUCGCUCAAUGCUGGAAUGAAAAGGAAACGGCCUCAGUUUGGCAUGCGGCUGCUGUCUAGUCAAUCCGAGCAUGGGCAACAAGAGGAGCAGAGGGAGGAGCGGCGAGAGAAGCGAGCGAGUGGCCCACUGCAGUAUUGAUGACCCAAUGAUCCCCUGCAGAACUCAGCCAGCCAGGCAGACAGACUGAGGCUCCACUCGCAAUCCCAGUCAACGGCGGCGAGCGAGCGGUUGUAGCGGGACGC
Long non-coding RNA from Entelurus aequoreus (snake pipefish), 1092 nucleotides. RefSeq lists it as uncharacterized. NCBI's taxonomy places the organism in Eukaryota, Metazoa, Chordata, Actinopteri, Syngnathiformes, Syngnathidae. The record is from RefSeq and is a predicted model, not a curated record. The transcript has 3 exons.